GACGUAGGGCGCGAGCGUUGUCCGGAUUUAUUGGGCGUAAAGAGCUCGUAGGCGGCUUGUCGCGUCGACUGUGAAAACCCGCGGCUUAACUGCGGGACUGCAGUCGAUACGGGCAGGCUAGAGUUCGGUAGGGGAGACUGGAAUUCCUGGUGUAGCGGUGAAAUGCGCAGAUAUCAGGAGGAACACCGGUGGCGAAGGCGGGUCUCUGGGCCGAUACUGACGCUGAGGAGCGAAAGCGUGGGGAGCGAACAGG
This 253-nucleotide ribosomal RNA is filed under the name uncultured bacterium. RNAcentral describes it as "partial 16S ribosomal RNA". It matches the Rfam family "Bacterial small subunit ribosomal RNA", at positions 524 to 776 of the family's 1533-position model. The record is from RNAcentral.